CCUACGGGUGGCAGCAGUGAGGAAUAUUGGUCAAUGGACGCGAGUCUGAACCAGCCAUGCAGCGUGCAGGAUGACUGCUCUAUGGGUUGUAAACUGCUUUUAUAAAGGGAUAAACUGCGAUACGUGUAUCUGUUUGAAAGUAUCUUACGAAUAAGGAUCGGCUAACUCCGUGCCAGCAGCCGCGGUAAUACGGAGGAUCCGAGCGUUAUCCGGAUUUAUUGGGUUUAAAGGGGGCGUAGGCGGGUUGUUAAGUAAGAGGUGAAAUGUUGGGGCUCAACCCCGAAACUGCCACUAAUACUGGUGGACUAGAGAACAGUUGCGGUAGGCGGAAUGCAUGGUGUAGCGGUGAAAUGCUUAGAGAUCACACAGAACACCGAUUGCGAAGGCAGCUUACUAAACUAUAUCUGACGUUGAGGCACGAAAGCGUGGGUAGCAAACAGGAUUAGAUACCCGAGUAGUC
Molecule: ribosomal RNA, 460 nt
Filed under: uncultured bacterium
Lineage: Bacteria
Description: partial 16S ribosomal RNA
Rfam family: Bacterial small subunit ribosomal RNA
Source: RNAcentral